ACCUGCUCCAACCUCAUCUACUGCAUGUUCUGUUUCCCGAUGUGGCCUCCUGUACAUCGGCAAGACAAUGUGUAGACUGGGCGACCAUUUCGCCAAACACUUGAGCUCGGUCCGCCAAGACCUGCUGGAUCUCCCGGUUUUUAACCAUUCCCUUCCCGUU
Molecule: long non-coding RNA, 160 nt
Organism: Amblyraja radiata (thorny skate)
Lineage: Eukaryota; Metazoa; Chordata; Chondrichthyes; Rajiformes; Rajidae
Exons: 3
Source: RefSeq, a predicted model, not a curated record